Long non-coding RNA from Coregonus clupeaformis (lake whitefish), 652 nucleotides. RefSeq lists it as uncharacterized. The transcript has 3 exons. Lineage: Eukaryota; Metazoa; Chordata; Actinopteri; Salmoniformes; Salmonidae. The record is from RefSeq and is a predicted model, not a curated record.
UGCACCAAUUUGUAAGUCGCUCUGGAUAAGAGCGUCUGCUAAAUGUCGUAAAUGUAAAUGUUUUAAGAGCCAUCCACAUUGCAAUAAGAGUAUUCUUCCAUUGACUUAGCUUCGUUAACUGCAGUUAUUACAUUCCCAGUUUCUCUCCUUUUGAGUUCUACUUCUCAGGUGAGGACGUCUGUACAAAAACAAAACAGGCUCUUUUAAGAGUGACCCAUAUUGAAAACAAUUAGACACCCUAUAACCCACACCUACACACUCAAUCUGAUUGAUGGAUUGUGCAGUAAGCAGGCUCAGGUGUAGAACUGUGGCUCCUUCCACCUCCAAAAGGACAGGCCAGAGGACCAACCAUGGAGAAUAGUUAUAUCAGCUGUGUCGGUGAACCCCUCCCGCAUCUGAACUGGCUACACAGAGGGCACAGCAUGAUCAGAGGUAUGUUUUGAUGGGUGCCAACCUCCAGUCCAGUCCAUCUCACCCGCUCUUAAGAUCACCUUCUGGCCAACUGGGGGCCCAAGGCUGUUAGGAGACACCGCUAGAGACACUAUUAUGUAAUUGUGAUGACCUGAGAGAAUAUUAGGGUAGCACUGUAAUUCAUUAAUCAUAUGCUGUCUUCCCUAGUAGCACUGUAAUUCAUUAAUCAUAUGCUGUCUUC